AGGAUAAACGCUGGCGGCGUGCCUAAAACAUGCAAGUCGAACGGCUGAUGCCUUCGGGUAUCGGUAGUGGCGGACGGCUGAGUAACACGUGGGUGACCUGCCCCGGAGCGGGGGAUAACUGCCCGAAAGGGUGGCUAAUACCGCAGACAUCAUGGGUUCGUUCUCAUGAUUGAACCGAUAUAGGGUUCUGGGAGGGGCCCGCGGCCGAUUAGCUAGCUGGUGGGGUAAUGGCCUACCAGGGCGUCGAUCGGUAGCUGGUCUGAGAGGAUGAUCAGCCAGACUGGGACUGCGAACGGCCCAGACUCCUACGGGAGGCAGCAGUUAGGAAUUUGGGCAAUGGGCGAAAGCCUGACCCAGCAACGCCGCGUGGGUGAUGAAGGCCCUCGGGUCGUAAAGCCCGUUUUCCCAGGGAAGAUGAUGACGGUACCUGGGAAUCACGCCCGCUAACACGUGCCAGCAGCCGC
RNAcentral lists this ribosomal RNA (464 nucleotides) under uncultured soil bacterium. Its description in RNAcentral is "bacterial SSU rRNA". It matches the Rfam family "Bacterial small subunit ribosomal RNA", at positions 26 to 518 of the family's 1533-position model. The record is from RNAcentral.